Non-coding RNA from Schistosoma curassoni, 46 nucleotides. NCBI's taxonomy places the organism in Eukaryota, Metazoa, Platyhelminthes, Trematoda, Strigeidida, Schistosomatidae. The record is from Rfam.
GCACUGCUGAGGAGUCUCAGUAUAGGACGAAACGUCCGUACAGUGC